RNAcentral lists this ribosomal RNA (544 nucleotides) under Stoliczia chaseni. RNAcentral's name for it is "16S rRNA". It matches the Rfam family "Bacterial large subunit ribosomal RNA", at positions 1832 to 2625 of the family's 2925-position model. Lineage: Eukaryota; Metazoa; Arthropoda; Malacostraca; Decapoda; Potamidae. The record is from RNAcentral.
GUCUAUUUGAAGUUAUAAAAAGUCAGACCUGCCCCCUGACAUUUUAAAGGGCCGCAGUAUUAUAACUGUGCAAAGGUAGCAUAAUCAUUAGGUUUUUAAUUGGAAUCUUGUAUGAAUGGUUAGACAAAAGAAAAGCUCUCUUUAUAUUUAGUUUUGAAUUUAACUUUUAAGUGAAAAGGCUUAAAUACUCUAGAGGGACGAUAAGACCCUAUAAAACUUUACAUUACAAUUAAAUUUUAGUUAAAUUUAUAAAAUAAUAAUUUAAUUUAAUUAUUUGUUAGGUUGGGGAGACAAAAGUAAAAUAUUAUUUUAACUGCUUAAUUAUUAUACAAUUAUUAGUGAGAGAAGUAAAAGAUCCUUAUUAAAGAUUAUUAGGUUAAGUUACUUUAGGGAUAACAGCGUAAUUUCUUUUAAGAGUUCUUAUCGAAAAAGAAGAUUGCGACCUCGAUGUUGAAUUAAAAGUGUCUGUGUAAUGGAGAAGUUACAUAAGAAGGUCUGUUCGACUUUUGAAAUUUUACAUGAUUUGAGUUCAAACCGGUGUGAG